This 76-nucleotide transfer RNA is filed under the name Bacillota bacterium. RNAcentral's name for it is "tRNA-Thr". It matches the Rfam family "tRNA". From Rfam's summary of the family: Transfer RNA (tRNA) molecules are approximately 80 nucleotides in length. Their secondary structure includes four short double-helical elements and three loops (D, anti-codon, and T loops). The record is from RNAcentral. RNAcentral also lists the same sequence under 1 other name. Lineage: Bacteria; Bacillati; Bacillota.
GCUGGCGUAGCUCAGUUGGUAGAGCAACGGUUUCGUAAACCGUAGGUCGUGGGUUCAAGUCCCUCCGCCAGCUCCA